Taeniopygia guttata (zebra finch) is the source of this 2925-nucleotide non-coding RNA. NCBI's taxonomy places the organism in Eukaryota, Metazoa, Chordata, Aves, Passeriformes, Estrildidae. The record is from RefSeq and is a predicted model, not a curated record.
GUGACAUCAGCACUUCUACUGGAAUCAUCUCUUCUGACAGGUUUGCAGUUUUACAGAGGAUGUCCACAGCAGCUCCCUGACUCCACUGCUGAACGCUUCACCCCAGCUCCCUUCCUCCUCAGUUUUCUCUUGAGUCAAGAGUCCCCAGGUUUCCACAUUUCUUUGUCAUGGGAAAGAGGUGACCCGUUCUUACGUCAAGGUUUAACGAUAACAUGAAACCAGAAUGUCCCAGAUCAACUCCCACAGAGCACUGGUACCAGCUUCCUUGCAGCCCAGGACUUUCCUCCUUCUGUCUCAUUUCUGGUAAUCUCCAUCCUCAUUUUCCUAGAGUUUAAUAUCAUCCAGUAAUAAAUCCAGCUGGAUUACAUCAGUUGCACUUCCAUUGUUUAAGAAAGCAAUUAGAUCACCUAGUACAAUGCUCCUUUUAUAAAAGCCCCUUCUUUAUCAUCCAUCAGUAAACAUCCUUUUUCUUUCAAAUUAAUUCCAAGACUUGCAUUCUAAUUAAGUCCGACAGGUACUUCUUUCUGUUUCAUUUCUUCCUGUACCUUUCCUAUAUUUUUCUAUGAGAUUGUACCACAAAGGACUUAACUUGGUACACAUUUUGCAACUCUCUGUACUGGUUCUUUUGUAUUUCUGAGAUAGCAGUUCCCAAGGUGCCAGUCUGCAUGAACAAAGCUCUCCAACUUUUGCUUACAAUUAAUUUGUAAUAAAUUUCCAUUUUAUCUUCGUGUUUCAUUUAGACAUUCCGCUGUGUUCCCAACUAUCAGCUGCCAUAACCCAGCAAAACUGAACAGUGGGUUUGAUCCCUCUGUCCUGUAGCCACACAGAGGAACAGCUCCUGAUGACUGCUUUACUAAACAGCAGAUUUACAUGUCCUCCCUAGUCACUGAAACUGUGCACAUGCCUGUCCUGGGCUCCUGUCAGUUUAUGGUGGUAGGCUAAAGAUAGAAAUGUCUUUAUUUUUUUAUCCAAGUUUCAAAGUGUUUGUUCUGGAAAGCAUCUGAUAUCUACACAGUGUCUGUUAUUUGCUGGACUUGCACAACAGAAAAAAAGCACCACCAAAACCCCAAAUUACCUCUUUUCACAUUGUGUGAAACAUUUUCCUCUUGCCAGAGAGUAGAUUAUUUUUCCUUACACUAAUCAUUAUUCUAACCUAUACACAAAGCUUUUUACAGACUUUCCAAAUUUACCUGCAAGUGUUAGAUGAGGCAAUGAACCAUGCACAUAAUUUAUUUUUAAAUUCAAAACCUUAGAUUUAACAGGUCUUGACUUUUUCACUUGAUUACUUUAUAAACUAGUCGUUAUUUAAUCUGAACAGAUCCUUAUUUCCAAAUAAUAUGAUUCCUGCUAGAUGACUUUUCUGCUAGAUGUCAACAAGAAUCUAGCAGGUCAACAGGCUACAGAGAAUAUAUUAAGGAAACAGUCAUUCUGUGCCAUCAAGCAAAAUUCUUCAGCUGUUUUGAAGAUAACUGUUUAAAAUCUUCUGAAUUUUGACUAUCCCUAAUUUGAUCUAAUUUGAUCUGUUUAGAGUAUGACCAAAAUGCCUAAUCCUUACCAGAUGCAAGUACACGGGGUUGAAGCAAGUUAGAGGUCAUCAGUCAACAAGAGCUGAAGGUUCUCAAAAUUAUGUUACAUCCUCUGAUGUUUGGAAAUGUGCGGAGGAGGAAGCCUUGAAAAGAACUCUGGCUGCACUCCGCUUUAUUCAAAACUUUCUUUGUAUUUUUUUUGUUGUAAUAAAAUUUAAAAUUUAUCAGAGGAAAUCAAAAGAAUAAAGGAGCCAUUCCCAGACACGUCUCCUGUAGAGACUUGCUGUGCUAUUAUUCUUUAAUUCAAAAGGAACAACAAGGUGAGCAUCUGUUUUAUUCUGGAGAAGAACAACUUCUCAUUUUAGAUGUGUGCACAGAAGUGGCUGUAAUGUGAUAUGGAAUCCAUAAGCAAAGGCUUAAAGUUCUAUCUGAAGUGCUUUUUCAAUUCAAGUUCAAGUGCCUUACUUUUUGUUUCUGCAAUCAGAUCUCUCUUACACUUCCUACUUAGAAAGAUUUUGGCACGUAUUGCUUUGAGUAUUUUUAUUUAACUCUCCAUUAGGAACCUAAUUCCUUACUCAGGAAUCUAAUUUCAUGUGGUUUGUUUUCAAUUUAUUCAACACAAAUUCUGUUCUCUCAAUGUGAAACCAAACUCACACGUUAAUCUGUAUGUUAGGGAACAGUGAAAUAAAACGGAUGUGCUGUACUUUGCGUCCAGCAUUGUUUCUGUAUAUGAACUUUACAAUACUUUUUCUAUCUACUCUGGUAAUAAGAAAACCAAGGAGAGUAAUACCAGAUCCUGAACCACUCAGCUGUCAAGUGUCCAUGGUCAUAAAGACAAUACAUUUUUUGGAGCAUUAACAAGAGCUAUGUCUUUUUACUUAUUUAACAGUUGACUUUUACAUUACUUUCUGCAGUAAGGAGCAAAUCCACAGCUCUCUAAAUCUUCACACAUCUAAAUGCUCUGCUGUAAAGAUAACAUUUUAUCUGCCAUGACACAGUUACUUUCCCUUCUCUGUAAAUACCUUGAGAAAACACUAAAAACCUCAGAAAAAUCAACGUAACUGUUAUUUUGAUUUCUUAAAUAGCAAAUCCCUUAGGCAGUAUUUUAAAAACUAUAGGAAAGAAUAUUUAAAUUAUGUGGGAAAUCUUUUUUUUUUUUUUUUAAGAUAAUGGAACUGACAUCAACUGCUGUUGCUUCAGCUAAGUUUAAUUCUAAAUGAGUUCAAUAUCUUGCCCAAAAGGAAGACAGACAUUAAGUAAUCAAUAACAGCUGGAGUAAACUAUGGCCAUGACCUUUUAAAUAACUUCUGGGAAAGCUGCAGAUCUUCUGUGGGUCAUAAUGAAUUUCAGGGAAUUUAUGGCUUCACUGCAGCCUAUGGGAAUUUCAUCACUACCACCA